RNAcentral lists this ribosomal RNA (39 nucleotides) under Coffea ratsimamangae. RNAcentral's name for it is "partial 26S ribosomal RNA". Lineage: Eukaryota; Viridiplantae; Streptophyta; Magnoliopsida; Gentianales; Rubiaceae. The record is from RNAcentral.
UACCCGCUGAGUUUGAGCAUAUCAAUAAGCGGAGGAAAA